RNAcentral lists this ribosomal RNA (254 nucleotides) under uncultured bacterium. RNAcentral's name for it is "partial 16S ribosomal RNA". It matches the Rfam family "Bacterial small subunit ribosomal RNA", at positions 524 to 776 of the family's 1533-position model. The record is from RNAcentral.
UACGUAGGGUGCAAGCGUUGUCCGGAAUUAUUGGGCGUAAAGAGCUCGUAGGCGGUCUGUCGCGUCUGCUGUGAAAACUCGGGGCUUAACCCCGGGCCUGCAGUGGGUACGGGCAGACUAGAGUGCGGUAGGGGGAGACUGGAAUUCCUGGUGUAGCGGUGGAAUGCGCAGAUAUCAGGAGGAACACCGGUGGCGAAGGCGGGUCUCUGGGCAGUAACUGACGCUGAGGAGCGAAAGCGUGGGGAGCGAACAGG